Molecule: RNA transcript, 1427 nt
Organism: Oxyura jamaicensis (ruddy duck)
Lineage: Eukaryota; Metazoa; Chordata; Aves; Anseriformes; Anatidae
Gene name: FXYD domain-containing ion transport regulator 6-like
Exons: 5
Source: RefSeq, a predicted model, not a curated record
CCAGAUUGAUGCUGACGUGAAAUGGCAGAAGAGCACAUCGACGCGGAGCUGGAAAUGUCCAUUCACACAUGCACGCUCCUCAGCGCUCCAGGCAACCGAGCGCUGCUGCCACGGUCUUGGGGGCUUUGCACAGAAACUGGAGAUUUUAACUAGGUCUGAUCUCCAGGAGCUGCCCUCAGGGCUCCUGACGGAAGGAGGCUGCCCAGCGUUAGGCUGUGAUCGCUGAGACUUGACAGGGCUGAUCUAUGCAAAACAACGGGAAGGGAAAUGGUGCUUCAGGACUUGAGACCUUCACCUGCCUUGCUCUGGCACAAUUUGCAGGGCUUCGGAGAGCUCAUCGGGGGGACCGCGUCCCUCUGCCUGGAUUUCCCCCCUCUUCUCCCCCUGACACACGCAGCACACACAGGCAGUGCCCAGACAACGUGCAGAAAGGCGAGGAGGGGUCCUCCAGAAGAGGCAGCAGGGUGGGGAAGCCUCCGGCCAGCUCCAGUGCCCCCUGGGAGCCUCUCCCAAAUGCCUGGCGUCCUCCUCCUGCCCCAUCUGCAUCCUCAUACACCACCGGGCUCUGCAAGAGCACCUCGUGUCUCCCCCAGCCGCAGGCAGAGCCCCUGCUGCCAAAAGCUGAGGAUGCCCCAAGCCUGCAGAGCUCGGCUGAGCCCCCGGAGCACUGCUGGCCCCAUAGGGGUGGGGAUGGGGGGAGAGAGAGGGGGGCGUUAUUUUGUUUUCCCCAUUAAAACUGCCAACUGGGGCAAGGCGGGAGGGCAGGAGAGCCCUGGGCACCGCUGCCCCGCUUCCUGUGCCGCUCUGCCUCCCUUCCUUACAGCCGAUCGCAGUUUUAAGGGGAAAAAAACAUGUUUUGAUUCAAGUCACGUGCCGAGCGCCGCGCUCCCCGGUCGCCGUGGUUUGUACGGGCGCCUCGCUGCUUUGUUUGGCGGCUGCAGGCUUGGGGUCGGUAACGGGGGGGAUGCGGUGCCGCGUGCCGGGGAGCGGGGCCAUGCAGCCCCCCCUUGUGCAGCCCCUGCAGUCCGGCUGCCUCGGGGCUGGGGCACAGCGGGGUUCGGCCCCGAGCGCUUCACGCUGAAGGCAAACCCCGUGCAGCGUUUGCUUUUCUUGCUUUCCUUCAGCUUCCAAAAAAAAAAAAAAUUAAAAAAAAAAAUGGGUGGGCCAGCUUGAAACAACCCCAGAAACCUGUGACGUUUCACAAAGCAUAUGCUGCCUUGGAGGAGAAGGGGGCUCAUCUGCACUCCAGAACGCCGUGUUUGUUUUUCUGGCGAGGACACCGCCAGGCCCGACGCAGCCAUGGACGCGGCGCUCAUCGUCCUGUGCUCCCUGCUGGUGCCGGCGGCCGUGGCAGAUGUGGGCACCCAGGAGAAGGAGGAAGACCCCUUUAACUACGACUACCAAAGCCUGAGGAUCGGCGGGCUGGU